UGAGUACGAGAUGCUACGGCGUCGAAGCAGUCUAGGUCAUACUUCCAAGAAAAGCUUGCACUGCCAUAAACAGAGAAUGCCUGUACCAUAACCGACACAGGUGGGUAGGUAGAGUAUACUAAGGGGCGCGAGAUAACUCUCUCUAAGGAACUCGGCAAAAUGACUCCGUAACUUCGGGAGAAGGAGUGCCUUAUUUUUAAGGUUGCAAUAACAAGAUCCAAGCAACUGUUUACCAAAAACACAGGUCUCCGCUAAGUCGUAAGACGAUGUAUGGGGGCUGACGCCUGCCCAGUGCCAGAAGGUUAAAGAAGUUGGUUAGCAUUUGCGAAGCUGAUAACUGAAGCCCUGGUGAACGGCGACCGUAACGAUAACGGUCCUAAGGUAGCGAAAUUCCUUGUCGGGUAAGUUCCGACCCGCACGAAAGGCGUAAUGAUUUGGAUACUGUCUCGGAGAGGGGCUCGGUGAAAUAGACUUGUCUGUGAAGAUGCGGACUACCUGCACCUGGACAGAAAGACCCUAUGAAGCUUUACUGUAACUUGAGAUUGAAAUUGGACUUUAUUUGCGCAGUAUAGGAGGGAGGCGUUGAGAAUAAUCUUGCGGGAUUAUCGGAGCCAUCAGUGAGAUACCACUCUUGUAAUGUUAGAUUUCUAACUUUGUAUCAUUAUCUGGUCAAAGAACAGUUUCAGGCGGGCAGUUUGACUGGGGCGGUCGCCUCCCAAAGGGUAACGGAGGCGCACAAAGGUUUCCUCUGAACGGGUAGAAAUCGUAUCUAGAGUGUAAAGGCAUAAGGAAGCUUGACUGUGAGACCUACAAGUCGAGCAGGGACGAAAGUCGGUCUUAGUGAUCUGACGGUGCUGAGUGGAAAGGCCGUCACUCAACGGAUAAAAGUUACUCUAGGGUAACAGGCUGAUCUCCCCCAAGAGUUCACAUCGACGGGGAGGUUUGGCACCUCGAUGUCGGCUCAUCGCAUCCUGGGGCGGUAGUACGUCCCAAGGGUUGGGCUGUUCGCCCAUGAAAGCGGUACGCGAGCUGGGUUCAGAACGUCGUGAGACAGUUCGGUCCAUAUCCGGUGUAGGCGUUAGAAUAUUGAAAGGAGCCUUCUCUAGUACGAGAGGACCGAGAAGGACAUACCUCUGGUGUGCCAGUUAUCGUGCCAACGGUAAACGCUGGGUAGCUAUGUAUGGAGUGGAUAACCGCUGAAAGCAUCUAAGUGGGAAGCCCACCUUAAGAUAAGUAUUCUCA
RNAcentral lists this ribosomal RNA (1242 nucleotides) under metagenome. RNAcentral describes it as "bacterial LSU rRNA". It matches the Rfam family "Bacterial large subunit ribosomal RNA", at positions 1564 to 2816 of the family's 2925-position model. The record is from RNAcentral.